GUAUUUCAGGGGAAAAGAUUUUGUCGCUUUUGUGAGAAAUCAUUCAGAACUUAAAGACAUACUAGAGUCAGAUAAAGGUUUGGAGCCUGAAGAUAUUGCCAACAUUCUGCUUCAAAAGAAUCUUUUAGUCCGCUGUGAUCGUGUGGUGAAAAUUGUUCGACCUGGGAAGAAAAAACUAUCUUCUUGGCCAGCACAUUUAGAGAUAUACCAUGAUCAAGUAUUUUCUGAAAAUGAUGCCUUUUUUGCAUGGGCAUUUGUGAAAAGAAGACCCCUGUGGCAAACACUUCUCUCAUUUUUCUGGCCGGUGUUAACACUAGCAAUUUGCUUGUUUCCUGUUUAUCCCCAUUGGGCCAAAUUGCUUGUACUAUACACGUGUGCUGGUCUCCUCCUUCUCAUACUUAGUCUGCUAUUCAUAAGAGCUUUGAUCUUUGGUGCUAUUUGGGUACUUUUUGGGAAGCGUGUAUGGUUUUUCCCCAACAUUCUGGCCGAGGAAGCAACACUGCAAGAUUUGUUCCAAGUUUGGCCUCAGAAGGAUGAAGGCGAGCGACCUAAGUGGACAGCAAGGCUUUUCUACGCAAUAGUAGCCGUGGUUGUUAUUUUGCUCUUGAUGAGGCUGCACGAACCAGGUUUGCUUG
RNAcentral lists this unclassified non-coding RNA (635 nucleotides) under Hevea brasiliensis (rubber tree). Lineage: Eukaryota; Viridiplantae; Streptophyta; Magnoliopsida; Malpighiales; Euphorbiaceae. The record is from RNAcentral.